AGGACGAACGCUGGCGGCGUGCUUAACACAUGCAAGUCGAGCGGAAAGGCCCUUCGGGGUACUCGAGCGGCGAACGGGUGAGUAACACGUGAGUAAUCUGCCUUUAGCUCUGGGAUAGCUCCGGGAAAACCGGGAUUAAUACCGGAUAUGACCACUUUAGACAUCUGUUGUGGUGGAAAGUUUUUCGGCUAGAGAUGAGCUCGCGGCCUAUCAGCUUGUUGGUGGGGUAACGCCUACCAAGGCGACGACGGGUA
This 254-nucleotide ribosomal RNA is filed under the name uncultured bacterium. RNAcentral describes it as "partial small subunit ribosomal RNA". It matches the Rfam family "Bacterial small subunit ribosomal RNA", at positions 26 to 285 of the family's 1533-position model. The record is from RNAcentral.